GAUGAAGAACGCAGCGAAAUGCGAUACGUAAUGUGAAUUGCAGAAUUCAGUGAAUCAUCGAGUCUUAGAACGCACAUUGCGCCCCCUGGUAUUCCGGGGGGCAUGCCUGUCCGAGCGUCAUUGCUGCCCUCAAGCACGGCUUGUGUGUUGGGCCUCCGUCCUCCUCCCGGGGGACGGGCCCGAAAGGCAGCGGCGGCACCGCGUCCGGUCCUCGAGCGUAUGGGGCUUCGUCACCCGCUCUUGUAGGCCCGGCCGGCGCUUGCCGACACAUCAAUCUUUUUUCCAGGUUGACCUCGGAUCAGGUAGGGAUACCCGCUGAACUUAAGCAUAUCAAUAAGCGGAGGA
This 345-nucleotide unclassified non-coding RNA is filed under the name soil metagenome. RNAcentral describes it as "partial contains 5.8S ribosomal RNA, internal transcribed spacer 2, and large subunit ribosomal RNA". The stretch from base 1 to 120 matches the Rfam family "5.8S ribosomal RNA", at positions 35 to 154 of the family's 154-position model. The record is from RNAcentral.